Molecule: long non-coding RNA, 1929 nt
Organism: Felis catus (domestic cat)
Lineage: Eukaryota; Metazoa; Chordata; Mammalia; Carnivora; Felidae
Exons: 2
Source: RefSeq, a predicted model, not a curated record
CAAGCCACGUUGCCUUCUAGGACCUAGUUUUGGAAGGCACACACACAGUCCCUCCUGUCGUACUCCGUGGUUUGCCUGUUCUGGUCGUUGCACGUCGAUGGCGUGUUGUAAGAUGGGCUACGUUGAUGUGACCAUCUGCUACAAUAAUGUCACCUUCCCCAUUGGGCUGUUGUGAGGAGCUAAUUAAUUAGGCAAUCCUUGCAAGGAACUUCAACCAGUGCCUGCGAAGCUGACAAAAUGAGGAUAUGAAGUCUUGUCUCAUUUCAGGUGAGGAGGACCAGACCAUGGUUUUGGCUGCAGCAGAGGCCUGAGGCAGGCCAGGGAGUUGGUGCAGGGAGCAGUGAGGGGAAUCUGAGUGCACCUGCUCCUGCGGGGCCAGGGGGGCAUGGAUGGAGGGCCAAGCCCUCUAAGCACAGCCUCUGACCCAAGAGGCCUACCCAGCACUACAGUCACCACACACCCUGAAUGCCCAAGCCUGAGUCUGAAGAGUGGGUCCCCUCCCUCCCAACGGAACAGAUCCUAGCCCUCACUCCAGAACAAUCACCUGCCACCCUAAGUCUGAGGGUAAGCUUUUGGCUUGGCCUUCACGUUAAGUCUGAACUCCUGCCAGACCCCAGGACCUUUGCACCACUACGUUCUACCCCAGAAAUGGCCGGCCAAGUGCUGAGGCUGGAGUUGGCCCUUUUUGUUCCCCUGGGGGCUGGGGCACAGCGGCUCUGCCCUGCCCUGGGUGGGAGUGGGUGACACCGAGCUUCCCCACUCCCUGUCCCUUAUGCUACUGCCCAAUUCAGUGGGAGGGAAGGUUACCUCCUAGAGCUGCUGUGUGGCUCUCUUUGUCUCAAAGAGCCUUGAGAGACGGCAGGAGAGAGAUUUAAUUGCAGCCUGCCUGGGAACCUUUAAAGCAUUGACCUCUCUGGCCACACCCCAAGGUUGGCACGCUUUAAUUAAAAACAAAGUGCUGCUCGGAGGAGCCCUGCCAAGCCUGGUGAGCCUGGUUCACCUGGGCUGCCUCCCACGGCCACCACGGGAUGGCCAGCUGACCCUCCUCAGGGGGGUGCUGGGUCUGUGCCUUCACGGAGGGUGGCGGUUUGGAUCACGGUUGCUGGGUUGUAAUUUUCUGAUCCGUUGGCUGCAGCGAGAACAAAAUCAGUGUUCUGGACUUGCCCUCUUUUGAAACCCACCUCCUUGUGGAUUCUCCAACUCCUUUUCCCAGUUGGCAUGCCUCUGAGCCACGCUGGUCUGUGCUGGGGUAGCUCUGUGGCUGUGCCACGAGGCUGUGGCCAAAACAAUGACAGAGGCCAGUGCUGGUGGCCCACCCCAGGUCCUUCUUCCUAAAACCAUAGCCUUUAUCUGCUGGGGCAGCACAGCGUGGGGGCUGAGGUCAGACCCUGAGCCUGUGGCUUCCUGACUGUGUGACCUGGGGAAAGUCAUUCAACCUCCCUGAGCCUGGCUCCUCACCUGGGCAGUGGCGAGAGGCACCGAAGCCUCUCAAGAAGAGUGUCUGAGGGAGCAAAGUGUCAUGUGUGGACUUGGCUCAUGUCCUUCUGCCUGGACCUGGGAUGCCUGGUCCUGCACACGCGCAUGCUGACUGCUCACAACUUCUAGCACCCGUGUCUCCCUCCUGAGGUCCCUCUCCCCAGACGAGCUUAGCAGCCUGGAAGUUCAUGGAUUCUGUGCCCCUGGAGUAACCCUCAGUCCACAAAGGCCAGGAGCUGGUAGAUGGAUACUCCCAGCUUCCCCAUCCUGCAGCCCGGUGGAGGGCCAUGUUUUUCUCCGUAAAUUUGUUUACAUGAUUUCUAUUUUACCUUGCGUAGUUCUUUGUGUCCUUGGCUUUAUCUCAAUGAAGAUAUACCGUCUACUUAUUGUUUUUUCCAAAAAUUUUAAUUGUGGUAAAAAUAUACACCACAUAAAAUUACCGUCUUAACCAUU